Molecule: ribosomal RNA, 108 nt
Filed under: Staphylococcus aureus
Lineage: Bacteria; Bacillati; Bacillota; Bacilli; Caryophanales; Staphylococcaceae
Also listed under: 1 other name
Description: partial 23S ribosomal RNA
Rfam family: Bacterial large subunit ribosomal RNA
Source: RNAcentral
GAUUAAGUUAUUAAGGGCGCACGGUGGAUGCCUUGGCACUAGAAGCCGAUGAAGGACGUUACUAACGACGAUAUGCUUUGGGGAGCUGUAAGUAAGCUUUGAUCCAGA